Molecule: ribosomal RNA, 497 nt
Filed under: uncultured bacterium
Lineage: Bacteria
Description: partial 16S ribosomal RNA
Rfam family: Bacterial small subunit ribosomal RNA
Source: RNAcentral
GAUGAACGCUGGCGGCGUGCCUAAUACAUGCAAGCCGAGCGAACAGACGAGGAGCUUGCUCCUCUGACGUUAGCGGCGGACGGGUGAGUAACACGUGGAUAACCUACCUAUAAGACUGGGAUAACUUCGGGAAACCGGAGCUAAUACCGGAUAAUAUAUUGAACCGCAUGGUUCAAUAGUGAAAGACGGUUUUGCUGUCACUUAUAGAUUGAUCCGCGCCGCAUUAGCUAGUUGGUAAGGUAACGGCUUACCAAGGCAACGAUGCGUAGCCGACCUGAGAGGGUGAUCGGCCACACUGGAACUGAGACACGGUCCAGACUCCUACGGGAGGCAGCAGUAGGGAAUCUUCCGCAAUGGGCGAAAGCCUGACGGAGCAACGCCGCGUGAGUGAUGAAGGUCUUCGGAUCGUAAAACUCUGUUAUUAGGGAAGAACAAAUGUGUAAGUAACUAUGCACGUCUUGACGGUACCUAAUCAGAAAGCCACGGCUAACUACGUG